GCCCAGAUGGCGGAAUUGGUAGACGCGCAUGCUUCAGGUGCAUGUAUUCGCAAGGAUGUGGAGGUUCGAGUCCUCUUCUGGGCACCA
RNAcentral lists this transfer RNA (87 nucleotides) under Sphingopyxis sp. BSNA05. Its description in RNAcentral is "tRNA-Leu". It matches the Rfam family "tRNA". From Rfam's summary of the family: Transfer RNA (tRNA) molecules are approximately 80 nucleotides in length. Their secondary structure includes four short double-helical elements and three loops (D, anti-codon, and T loops). RNAcentral also lists the same sequence under 16 other names. The record is from RNAcentral. Lineage: Bacteria; Pseudomonadati; Pseudomonadota; Alphaproteobacteria; Sphingomonadales; Sphingopyxidaceae.